UUUUAAAUUUAGAGUUUGAUCCUGGCUCAGGACGAACGCUGGCGGCGUGCUUAACACAUGCAAGUCGAGCGAUGAAGCUUCCUUCGGGGAGUGGAUUAGCGGCGGACGGGUGAGUAACACGUGGGUAACCUGCCUCAAAGUGGGGGAUAGCCUUCCGAAAGGAAGAUUAAUACCGCAUAAUAUAAGAGAAUCGCAUGAUUUUCUUAUCAAAGAUUUAUUGCUUUGAGAUGGACCCGCGGCGCAUUAGCUAGUUGGUAAGGUAACGGCUUACCAAGGCAACGAUGCGUAGCCGACCUGAGAGGGUGAUCGGCCACAUUGGAACUGAGACACGGUCCAGACUCCUACG
Molecule: ribosomal RNA, 346 nt
Filed under: Clostridium botulinum
Lineage: Bacteria; Bacillati; Bacillota; Clostridia; Eubacteriales; Clostridiaceae
Description: bacterial SSU rRNA
Rfam family: Bacterial small subunit ribosomal RNA
Source: RNAcentral